CAAACUAUAAUCUAGGAUUUAUUUUUAUUUACAUUAAAAAUUUAUUUGUGCAAUUCAAAUUAGUUUGA
Molecule: transfer RNA, 68 nt
Filed under: Pentatoma metallifera
Lineage: Eukaryota; Metazoa; Arthropoda; Insecta; Hemiptera; Pentatomidae
Description: tRNA-Val
Source: RNAcentral